This 79-nucleotide small RNA is filed under the name Flavobacterium micromati. RNAcentral's name for it is "Flavo-1 RNA". It matches the Rfam family "Flavo-1 RNA". Lineage: Bacteria; Pseudomonadati; Bacteroidota; Flavobacteriia; Flavobacteriales; Flavobacteriaceae. The record is from Rfam by way of RNAcentral.
UUUUUGCGUUAGGGAUUGCAGAGGAAAUCCUUUUUGAGAGGAACGAACAAAAAGAUUGGAACGGAAAGCCCGACCCUUU